GACGAACGCUGGCGGCGUGCUUAACACAUGCAAGUCGAACGAUGAAGCUGGAGCUUGCUCCGGUGGAUUAGUGGCGAACGGGUGAGUAACACGUGAGUAAUCUGCCCUUGACUCUGGGAUAACUGCGGGAAACUGUAGCUAAUACCGGAUACGACACCUUCGGGCAUCCGAUGGGUGUGGAAAGAAUUUCGGUCAAGGAUGAACUCGCGGCCUAUCAGCUAGUUGGUGAGGUAAUGGCUCACCAAGGCGACGACGGGUAGCCGGCCUGAGAGGGUGACCGGCCACACUGGGACUGAGACACGGCCCAGACUCCUACGGGAGGCAGCAGUGGGGAAUAUUGCACAAUGGGCGAAAGCCUGAUGCAGCAACGCCGCGUGAGGGAUGAAGGCCUUCGGGUUGUAAACCUCUUUUAGUUGGGAAGAAGCGAAAGUGACGGUACCAACAGAAAAAGCACCGGCUAACUACGUGCCAGCAGCCGCCGCAG
Molecule: ribosomal RNA, 484 nt
Filed under: uncultured bacterium
Lineage: Bacteria
Description: partial 16S ribosomal RNA
Rfam family: Bacterial small subunit ribosomal RNA
Source: RNAcentral